Molecule: non-coding RNA, 1013 nt
Organism: Musa acuminata subsp. malaccensis (wild Malaysian banana)
Lineage: Eukaryota; Viridiplantae; Streptophyta; Magnoliopsida; Zingiberales; Musaceae
Source: RefSeq, a predicted model, not a curated record
CUCGGCCUCCUCCUCUCAGAAACAAGCCAGAAAACCCUAGCCGGCUCACAAGGGCUUCCCCCGUUCGUCGCUUCCGACCCGCGACAUGGCGGAUUCUCCACGCAGGAGGUACUCACGGUCCCCAUCUCCAUACAAGGGUGGCUCUAAAACAAGGUCUCGGUCCAUGGGUUUGUCCCACUCCAGAUCUCAGUCUCCUCGGCCUAGAAACCACACAAGGUCACGGUCCAGAAGUCAUGACAGGAAUGAAACGGCGAAUCAUGGAAAUACUCUUUAUGUAACAGGACUUUCAUCCAGGGUUACAGAAAGGGACUUGGAGGAUCACUUCUCCAGGGAAGGAAAGGUUGUUGGAUGUCACCUAGUUGUUGAACCUCGCACACGUGCCUCUCGUGGUUUUGCAUUUGUGACCAUGGACACCACGGAAGAUGCAGACCGUUGUAUCAAGUAUCUCAAUCAGUCAAUCCUGGAAGGAAGAUGUAUAACGGUGGAGAAGUCAAGGAGGGGACGCCCACGAACACCUACGCCGGGAAAGUACCUUGGUGUGGUCAGCACACGAGACAGUUAUCGAAGCGAUCGUGGAAGAUACUAUGGAGGCUACAGCCGCGAUGACUAUGGUGGUGGUGGUGGUGGUGGUGGCUAUCGCAGAUCUCCAAAACACUCUCCUUACUGGGGCGGCGGCUCCCCACGGAGGUCACCAUAUGGUGGUAGGUCCAGAAGAGAACAAUCCAGGUCACCUUAUUAUGCAUACAGAAGCCCAGAGAGAGCUGCAGGCUAUGGGCGUCGCCCAAAUGGCUAUGGUAGGUAGAUUUUUGGUCAUUUUAUCCCCCUCCAUCAAACCAGAUCGUCAAUUGAUAGCUUUGCAGUUACAGUGUGUGUCUCUAGUAAGCAUCCAGAGUAGAUGUUGAACAAGUUGGUCCUUUUUUGAAUUAUGGUGGUGUUCUGGUUAUAUGUAGAGUUUGUGCGUGUGUUUCUUCUUGAGACAUGCACUUGAUGUGAUGCAAGUGAUGCGGGAUCAA